RNAcentral lists this ribosomal RNA (676 nucleotides) under uncultured archaeon. RNAcentral's name for it is "bacterial SSU rRNA". It matches the Rfam family "Archaeal small subunit ribosomal RNA", at positions 1 to 683 of the family's 1478-position model. The record is from RNAcentral.
UUUCCGGUUGAUCCUGCCGGACCUGACUGCUAUCGGAUUGAUACUAAGCCAUGCGAGUCUUUGUAGUAUUACAAGGCAGACGGCUCAGUAACGCGUAGUCAACCUACCCUAUGGACGGGAAUAAUCUCGGGAAACUGAGCAUAAUACCCGGCGUACCACCAUUCCUGGAAUGGUUGGUGGUUAAAAUGAUUCGUCGCCGUAGGAUGGGACUGCGACCUAUCAGCUUGUUGGUGAGGUAAAGGCCCACCAAGGCGAUUACAGGUACGGGCUCUGAGAGGAGAAGCCCGGAGAUGGGUACUGAGACACGGACCCAGGCCCUAUGGGGCGCAGCAGGCGAGAAAACUUUGCAAUGUGCGAAAGCACGACAAGGUUAAUCCGAGUGAUUUCUGCUAAAGGAAUCUUUUGCCAGUUCUAAAAAUACUAGUGAAUAAGGGGUGGGCAAGUUCUGGUGUCAGCCGCCGCGGUAAAACCAGCACCUCAAGUGGUCAGGAGGAUUAUUGGGCCUAAAGCAUCCGUAGCCUGCUCUGUAAGUUUUCGGUUAAAUCUAUAUGCUCAACGUAUAGGCUGCCGAAAAUACUGCAGUGCUAGGAAGUGGGAGAGGUAGACGGUACUUGAUAGGAAGGGGUAAAAUCCUUUGAUCUAUCGAUGACCACCUGUGGCGAAGGCGGUCUACCAG